RNAcentral lists this ribosomal RNA (504 nucleotides) under uncultured fungus. RNAcentral describes it as "SSU rRNA". It matches the Rfam family "Eukaryotic small subunit ribosomal RNA", at positions 248 to 755 of the family's 1831-position model. The record is from RNAcentral. Lineage: Eukaryota; Fungi.
GAUUCAUAAUAACUUAACGAAUCGCAUGGCCUUGCGCCGGCGAUGGUUCAUUCAAAUUUCUGCCCUAUCAACUUUCGAUGGUAAGAUAGAGGCUUACCAUGGUCUUAACGGGUAACGGAGAAUUAGGGUUCGAUUCCGGAGAGGGAGCCGGAGGAACGGCUACCACAUCCAAGGAAGGCAGCAGGCGCGCAAAUUACCCAAUGCUAAUUCAGCGAGGUAGUGACAAUAAAUACUGAUACGGGGCUCUUUCGGGUCUCGUAAUUGGAAUGAGUACAAUCUAAAUCCCUUAACGAGGAACAAUUGGAGGGCAAGUCUGGUGCCAGCAGCCGCGGUAAUUCCAGCUCCAAUAGCGUAUAUUAAAGUUGUUGCCGUUAAAAAGCUCGUAGUUGAACCUUGGACCUGGCUGAUCUGUCCUCCUAAUCGAGCGCACGGAUUCGGUCGGGUCUUUCCUUCUGGGGAGCCCUAUGCCCUUCACUGGGUGUAGUGGGGAACCAGGACUUUUAC